UUUUUAUUUUUAAUUUUGAGACAAGGUCUCACUAAGUUGCUGAGACUGACCUUGAACUUGUGAUCCUCCUGCCUCAGCCUCCCGAGUCACUGGGAUUAUGGGUAUGUGCCACCAUGCCCAGCUACCCUGGGAUUUUUCUAUGUAGACAUUUGUGUAAUCUCCAAAUAGGGACAGUUUAAGUUCUUCCUGUUUAAUCCAUGCCUUUCAUUUAUUUUUCUUGCCUUAUUGCAGUGUCUCAAACUUGCAGUACUAUAUUGAGUAAGACUGGAAAUAGUGGACACCAUUGCUUAGUUUCUCAAUUAAAGAGGAAAAGUAUUCAUUGUUUAUUUAUAUUGUUUGUGUGGGCCCUUUACCAAGUUAAGUAGUUAUCUCUAUUUCUAAGUUGCUGAGAGUUUUUUUUUCUUUUUAUCAUGAAUAGGAGUUGAAUUUUGUCAAAUGCUUUAUCUGAAAUUGAUAUUAUCAUGUAACUUUUUUUUUUAAAUUUAAUCUUUUAAUGUGGAACCAGCUUUGUAUACCUGGAAUAAUCCCAUCUGGUAUGGCAUAUAGCUCAUUUACAUAUUGUUGAAUUCAAUUUGUUCAUAUUUGUUCAGGAUUUUUUUGCAUACAAAAAAUAUAAGUUCAUAAAAGAUCUAGGUCUGUAGUUUUAUCUUUUUAUUUUAACACUACCUUUGUCUUGUUUUGGUAUCAGGAUAAUAAUAGCUUCAUUAAAUGAUUUGUGGACUGUUUCUUCUUUUCCUUACCCAUUUUCUUUUUGUUGUUAGGGAUCAAACCCAGGGUCUUGUGUGUGCUAAGCAGGUACUCUACCACUGGACUCCAUUUCCAGCUCUCCUUUUCUGUUCUUUUUUGAAAGAGAUUGUAUAUAUUUGAUUUUAAUUUUUCUUUAAAUGUUUUCUAGAAUUCUUCAGUGAAAGUAUAUGGGCCUUGUCUGGCAUGAUGGCACACACCUGUAAUCCCAGUAGCUUGGGAGUCUGAGACAGGAGGAUCUCGAGUUCAAAGCCAGUCUCAGCAAUGGCAAGCAUGCCAGAGAGAAGGUCCAGGAUGCUGGUGCCUCCGAAUGAGCAAGUGUCACAGCGGAGUCUGUUGGAGCAGGGGUUGUGCUAGGAGGGCUGGGAAUGAGAGACUCUCCAGGGGCUCCAGAAAACCACCCCGGGCCUCUGGAGGAAAUGGCCUGCCGGAGGUGAAGGAGAGAGGAAGACAGAGCUGAGGGGAACACUCCUGGAGACACAACCUCCAGUAUCUGGAACAACCCUGACUGUCUUUACUUAUGUGAACAAAUAUAUUGCCCCUCGCCCUUUU
Non-coding RNA from Ictidomys tridecemlineatus (thirteen-lined ground squirrel), 1296 nucleotides. The record is from RefSeq and is a predicted model, not a curated record. Lineage: Eukaryota; Metazoa; Chordata; Mammalia; Rodentia; Sciuridae.